ACAGUGGACGCGAGCAUCUUUGUUGUAAGUGUUUAAGAGCGUACGGUGGAUGCCUUGGCACCAGGAGCCGAUGAAGGACGUAGGAGGCUGCGAUAAGCCUCGGGGAGCUGUCAACCGAGCUGAGAUCCGAGGAUGUCCGAAUGGGGAAACCCAGCCACAGUGAUGUGUGGUUACCCGCGCCUGAAUAUAUAGGGCGUGUGGAGGGAACGUGGGGAAGUGAAACAUCUCAGUACCCACAGGAAGAGAAAACAACAUGUGAUUCCGUGAGUAGUGGCGAGCGAAAGCGGAAGAGGCUAAACCAUGGGUGUGUGAUAGCCGGCGGGCGUUGCAUUCGUGGGGUUGUGGGAUCCGUCUUGUCAAUUCUGCCGGAUUGGCCGACAGUGAGAAAUCAUCGUGUUAGUCGAAGUGGUCUGGAACGGCCUGUCGUAGAGGGUGAGAGUCCCGUAGACGAAAACAUGGUGACUGUCGUGACGGACACCCGAGUAGCAGCGGGCCCGUGAAAUCUGCUGUGAAUCUGUCGGGACCACCCGAUAAGCCUGAAUACUCCCUGGUGACCGAUAGCGGACUAGUACCGUGAGGGAAAGGUGAAAAGUACCCCGGGAGGGGAGUGAAAUAGUACCUGAAACCGUGCGCUUACAAUCCGUCAGAGCCUGCGCCACUUUGGUGGGUGGGUGAUGGCGUGCCUUUUGAAGAAUGAGCCUGCGAGUUAGCGGCAUGUCGCGAGGUUAACCCGUGUGGGGUAGCCGUAGCGAAAGCGAGUCCGAAUAGGGCGUUUGUAGUGGCAUGUUCUAGACCCGAAGCGGAGUGAUCUACCCAUGGCCAGGGUGAAGCGACGGUAAGACGUCGUGGAGGCCCGAACCCACUUAGGUUGAAAACUGAGGGGAUGAGCUGUGGGUAGGGGUGAAAGGCCAAUCAAACUCCGUGAUAGCUGGUUCUCCCCGAAAUGCAUUUAGGUGCAGCGUCGCGUGUUUCACUCUGGAGGUAGAGCUACUGGAUGGCCGAUGGGCCCCACAAGGUUACUGACGUCAGCCAAACUCCGAAUGCCAGAGUGUGAGAGCGCGGCAGUGAGACUGCGGGGGAUAAGCUUCGUAGUCGAGAGGGAAACAGCCCAGAUCGCCGGCUAAGGCCCCUAAGCGUGUACUAAGUGGAAAAGGAUGUGGGGUCGCGAAGACAACCAGGAGGUUGGCUUAGAAGCAGCCACCCUUGAAAGAGUGCGUAAUAGCUCACUGGUCAAGUGAUCCUGCGCCGACAAUGUAGCGGGGCUCAAGUACACCGCCGAAGCCGCGGCAUUCACAUAACACCCACUUCCCUCUACGGGGGGUUGUGCAGUGGUGUGGAUGGGUAGGGGAGCGUCGUGCAGCCAUGGAAGCGCCGGAGUGAUCCAGGUGUGGAGGCUGCACGAGUGAGAAUGCAGGCAUGAGUAGCGAAAGACGAGUGAGAAACUCGUCCGCCGAAUGACCAAGGGUUCCUGGGCCAGGUUAAUCCGCCCAGGGUGAGUCGGGACCUAAGGCGAGGCCGACAGGCGUAGUCGAUGGACAACGGGUUGAUAUUCCCGUACCCGUGUGAACGCGCCCCUGGUGAAUCAGUGAUGCUAAGCGCCCUGAAGCCGCCUUCGAACCUUCGGGUUCUCCGGUGUGUGGAUGCGCGUGAACCGAUCUGGUAGUAGCCAAGCGAUGGGGUGACGCAGGAAGGUAGCUGAGCCAGUCAGUGGUAAUACUGGUGUAAGCGUGUAGGGCGUGACCUAGGCAAAUCCGGGUCACACACAGCCUGAGACGUGAUGCGUAGCCGAUUGAGGCGAAUUCAGUGAUCCUAUGCUGCCGAGAAAAGCCUCUAGCGAGCUUUCACACGGCCCGUACCCCAAACCGACACAGGUGGUCAGGUAGAGAAUACUAAGGCGAUCGAGAUAACUGUGGUUAAGGAACUCGGCAAAAUGCCCCCGUAACUUCGGGAGAAGGGGGGCCUCGUCUGGU
This 1970-nucleotide ribosomal RNA is filed under the name Rhodococcus (subgen. Prescottella) equi. RNAcentral describes it as "Rhodococcus hoagii partial 23S ribosomal RNA". It matches the Rfam family "Bacterial large subunit ribosomal RNA", at positions 1 to 1761 of the family's 2925-position model. Lineage: Bacteria; Bacillati; Actinomycetota; Actinomycetes; Mycobacteriales; Nocardiaceae. The record is from RNAcentral.